This 250-nucleotide ribosomal RNA is filed under the name uncultured bacterium. RNAcentral describes it as "partial 16S ribosomal RNA". It matches the Rfam family "Bacterial small subunit ribosomal RNA", at positions 524 to 773 of the family's 1533-position model. The record is from RNAcentral.
UACGAGUACCCCAAGCGUUAUCCGGAAUUAUUGGGCGUAAAGGGUGCGUAGGUGGCGGUAUUAGUCUUAUGUUAAAACCUCGAGCUUAACUCGAGAAUCGCAUAAGAAACGGUACCACUAGAGGAUGUGAGAGGUGUGUAGAACUCAUGGAGUAGGGGUGAAAUCCGUUGAUAUCAUGGGGAAUACCAAAAGCGAAGGCAGCACACUGGCACAUUCCUGACAUUGAAGCACGAAAGCGUGGGUAGCGAAU